This 460-nucleotide ribosomal RNA is filed under the name uncultured bacterium. RNAcentral's name for it is "partial 16S ribosomal RNA". It matches the Rfam family "Bacterial small subunit ribosomal RNA", at positions 338 to 795 of the family's 1533-position model. The record is from RNAcentral.
CCUACGGGAGGCAGCAGUGAGGAAUAUUGGUCAAUGGACGCAAGUCUGAACCAGCCAUGCCGCGUGCAGGAAGACGGCUCUAUGAGUUGUAAACUGCUUUUGUACGAGGGUAAACGCAGAUACGCGUAUCUGUCUGAAAGUAUCGUACGAAUAAGGAUCGGCUAACUCCGUGCCAGCAGCCGCGGUAAUACGGAGGAUUCAAGCGUUAUCCGGAUUUAUUGGGUUUAAAGGGUGCGUAGGCGGUCGGAUAAGUUAGAGGUGAAAUCCCGAGGCUCAACUUCGGAAUUGCCUCUGAUACUGUUCGGCUAGAGAGUAGUUGCGGUAGGCGGAAUGUAUGGUGUAGCGGUGAAAUGCUUAGAGAUCAUACAGAACACCGAUUGCGAAGGCAGCAUACCAAGCUACUUCUGACGUUGAGGCACGAAAGCGUGGGGAGCAAACAGGAUUAGAUACCCUUGUAGUC